RNAcentral lists this ribosomal RNA (786 nucleotides) under uncultured bacterium. Its description in RNAcentral is "bacterial SSU rRNA". It matches the Rfam family "Bacterial small subunit ribosomal RNA", at positions 8 to 796 of the family's 1533-position model. The record is from RNAcentral.
AGAGUUUGAUCAUGGCUCAGAACGAACGCUGGCGGCGUGCUUAACACAUGCAAGUCGAGUGCGCGCCUGUAGCAAUACAGGUGGCGCACGGCGCACGGGUGCGUAACACGUGGGUAAUCUGCCCUCUGAUGGGGAAUAACCCGCCGAAAGGCGGGCUAAUACCGCAUAACAUUCCUUGGAUUUCGGUCCGGGGACUCAAAGGCGUAAGUCGUCGGAGGAGGAGCCCGCGCACGAUUAGCUAGUUGGUAGGGUAAUGGCCUACCAAGGCUUUGAUCGUUAGCUGGUCUGAGAGGAUGGCCAGCCACACUGGAACUGAGACACGGUCCAGACUCCUACGGGAGGCAGCAGUGGGGAAUCUUGCACAAUGGGCGAAAGCCUGAUGCAGCGACGCCGCGUGGGGGAUGAAGCAUUUCGGUGUGUAAACCCCUUUCGAUCCGGACGAAUGCCUCGCAAGAGGGGUGACGGUACGGAUAUAAGAAGCCCCGGCUAACUACGUGCCAGCAGCCGCGGUAAGACGUAGGGGGCCAGCGUUGUUCGGAAUUACUGGGUGUAAAGGGUUCGUAGGCGGUGUGGCAAGUUGGGAGUGAAAUCUCUGGGCUCAACCCAGAGGCUGCUUCCAAAACUGCUGUGCUUGAGUGUGAGAGAGGCGCGUGGAAUUGCAGGUGUAGCGGUGAAAUGCGUAGAUAUCUGCAGGAACACCCGUGGCGAAAGCGGCGCGCUGGAUCACUACUGACGCUGAGGAACGAAAGCUAGGGGAGCAAACAGGAUUAGAUACCCCCGUAGUCC